UCGGAUCCCUUGAUCCGUUGAACCCCGCGAAAGAACAAGUGCAUUAUGCGACGUUGGGCGAGAGGCGUCUCGCCGGUACCCGCACCUGCCCUUCGGGGUCGGUCGGGUUCCGAAUCAAAGCGUACACCCCAUUUUCAACCCCACUAAACUCUGAAUCUGAACUCGAAAGGGAGGCUGGCCUCGCGGCGGCGCCCUCAACCAUAUAACGUUGUAAAA
Molecule: ribosomal RNA, 216 nt
Filed under: Desmarestia distans
Lineage: Eukaryota; Phaeophyceae; Desmarestiales; Desmarestiaceae
Description: nuclear rRNA
Source: RNAcentral